Molecule: ribosomal RNA, 505 nt
Filed under: uncultured bacterium
Lineage: Bacteria
Description: partial 16S ribosomal RNA
Rfam family: Bacterial small subunit ribosomal RNA
Source: RNAcentral
GACGAACGCUGGCGGCGUGCUUAACACAUGCAAGUCGAACGGAAAGGCCCUGCUUGCAGGGUACUCGAGUGGCGAACGGGUGAGUAACACGUGGGUGAUCUGCCCUGCACUUCGGGAUAAGCCUGGGAAACUGGGUCUAAUACCGGAUAGGAGCCAUUUUUAGUGUGAUGGUUGGAAAGUUUUUUCGGUGUAGGAUGAGCUCGCGGCCUAUCAGCUUGUUGGUGGGGUAAUGGCCUACCAGGGCGGCGACGGGUAGCCGGCCUGAGAGGGUGGACGGCCAACGCGGCGGUGGGAUACGGACCAGACUGCGAGGGGAGGCGGCAGUGGGAGAAAUUGGGCCAGGGGCGCAAGGCUGCGGAGGCGGCGCGGCGGGGGGGCUGACUGCCGUCGGGUUGUUAACUCCUUUCUCGGGGGACGAAGUUUUUUGGACCGGUAACAAGAUAAGACGCCCCUGAUACCGACGGGCAAGCCGCCGGGGUAAUAAGCGAAAACCACCCGUCUGACC